Molecule: ribosomal RNA, 497 nt
Filed under: uncultured bacterium
Lineage: Bacteria
Description: partial 16S ribosomal RNA
Rfam family: Bacterial small subunit ribosomal RNA
Source: RNAcentral
GACGAACGCUGGCGGCGUGCCUAAUACAUGCAAGUUGAGCGCUGAAGGUUGGUACUUGUACCAACUGGAUGAGCAGCGAACGGGUGAGUAACGCGUGGGGAAUCUGCCUUUGAGCGGGGGACAACAUUUGGAAACGAAUGCUAAUACCGCAUAAAAACUUUAAACACAAGUUUUAAGUUUGAAAGAUGCAAUUGCAUCACUCAAAGAUGAUCCCGCGUUGUAUUAGCUAGUUGGUGAGGUAAAGGCUCACCAAGGCGAUGGUACAUAGCCGACCUGGGAGGGUGAUCGGCCACAUUGGGACUGGGACACGGCCCAAACUCCUACGGGAGGCAGCAGGAGGGAAUCUUCGGCAAUGGACGAAAGUCUGACCGAGCAACGCCGCGGGAGUGAAGAAGGUUUUCGGAUCGUAAAACUCUGUUGGUAGAGAAGAACGUUGGUGAGAGUGGAAAGCUCAUCAAGUGACGGUAACUACCCAGAAAGGGACGGCUAACUACGUG